This 294-nucleotide ribosomal RNA is filed under the name uncultured bacterium. RNAcentral's name for it is "partial 16S ribosomal RNA". It matches the Rfam family "Bacterial small subunit ribosomal RNA", at positions 336 to 627 of the family's 1533-position model. The record is from RNAcentral.
UUCCUACGGGGGGCAGCAGUGAGGAAUAUUGGUCAAUGGGCGGGAGCCUGAACCAGCCAAGUCGCGUGAGGGAAGACGGUCCUAUGGAUUGUAAACCUCUUUAGGCGGGGAGCAAUGCCGGGCACGCGUGUCCGGAGGGAGAGUACCCGCAGAAUAAGCAUCGGCUAACUCCGUGCCAGCAGCCGCGGUAAUACGGAGGAUGCGAGCGUUAUCCGGAUUUAUUGGGUUUAAAGGGUGCGUAGGCGGGCAUUUAAGCCGGCGGUCAAAUGGCGGGGCUCAACCCCGGCCUGCCGU